UUUUACUACAACACUGGCAAAACAAGCACUUGAGUAAUCAGAUUAUAUUUAUCUGUGCAGUUAUUAUAGUUAAAUUCCAUUAAGUCAGUGAGAGCCUUUCCAGUGGUUUUAAUUUCACAAAUUUAGUAAUAGUAGUAACCUUGUAUUGGUUUUUAAAAAAACUAGGUUUGUUUGUUCGCUUCCCCCAUAGGAAUCAUCACUAACAUAGAUAGUUUUAGUAUUAAAACAAUAUUGAUUUAGCCCGAUUUCAGUUGAUGCUUUUCUUUUUAAUUUAAACUCUCUUGGGAUUAUCUUUAUGAAAUGCUGUUGUGUUUACAUGUACAUAUUGUUUUGUAACAUGAUAUCACUUAUGUAAAAAUUCCUGUGGUAUUUUCCUUGGUUCACCACAGUCAUCAUCUUCUAUGUUGUCCACAGGUGUCUGCCUCAGCAGCUGUUCUCACUGUGUUAGUGUUGAUAUACUGUUGUCAACUGCAUUAACUGUACGUUAAAGAUCACAAAGAGAAGUUGAUCACAGGUCCAAGUUCCUGUAUCUUUUCGUCCUGCUUACCUGCCUUUCCAUCUCAGUUCCAUUAAGUCUAUGAGGUAUUUUUUAUUCCAUUUAGUCUUAAAUCACGAUAUUUUUAUGGACUGUUCCAGACUACUCUUCAGAGAGACAGCCAACAAAUCCCUGUUUUGACAAGCCAGUGAUUCAUAGUAGCUGACCAGAGGAGUAGAUCUGCUUCUGGGUUUGAUAACAUGCCUCAGUUUUUGGGUUCAUUUCAAAAAUGGCCACUAGCUAUCCUAGGAGAUUUAAGCAACAAAUUCACAGAUGUCCCCUGCAGGAUCAAAGUGAAGGAACCAAUGUUUCAAGCCAAUAUACAGUUUUUAGCCUUAUCUGUUACAGUGUUGGCUUUUCCUAGAGAGAUUGGCUUCUGUAGAGGUCAAAAGCCAUUUAGGAAGCUUACGCAGAAGUUUAUUACUGCUCUUCCAUCCCAAAGUCCACCUAAUUGUUGAGGGGGAGAAUGGUAAAUACACAGCCAAGUGUAAACAUGUCAUAGUAGUGACCUAUAUAUUUUAAAUAGGCACCAUUCAUACCAUUAGAUGCCUUUUCUUUAGUGCGUUGUCGUAAUCUGUAGAACUGCAUCAAUUCACACAUAACGGGAUACAGAUUGCGAUACAGCUGUUGUGACUUGGAUUACUGAUUUUAGACCUCUUCAUUGGACAAAGUUUGUCAGGAUUCAAUGUCGCCAAAGAUCAAUCUGUCCUCGUAAGUCUUUUUCUUUUUUUUUUUAUGGAGGGGGAUGUAUGAAAACUGUGUACACAUGCAGCUCCUGUUCUUUGGCAAGCAGUCAUAGCAAGGAGUAAUUGCUGAAGUCCUCUGUGGCAAAGUCCAUGUUUUUUUAGGUUUUGCCUUGUGUUUCUGUUUUUUAUGAGAAAAGGGGAGGAAGUUGCAGAAUACAGCCAGAUUAUGCUUAUCAGGUAGCAGCAUAUGCAUCAGCAACACAUCAGUAGCCUUUGCCUCUUUCUAAUAAAUAAUACUUACAGACUUAUUGCACAAGCAUGAUUUUGGUUAAUUUGUUUAAUAAGGUGAAUUUUGCUGGAUCUCUUCUGUUAUUAACACAUUCACCAAUACGUGUUAUUGUCACCAGAGUACAGAAAAAUCUUUUCAUUGGCUGAAGAAAUUCCUCUACUGGAACAGAGCACCUUUUUGUUGCUUAGACAGACAGUAUAGUCAUUGUGUUAAAAUUUGUAAACUGAGGCCUUUAUCAGAAGGCAGCUAGACAACAUUCUUCUUUGGAAUCUCAAAUUAACGCGUUCUCUUUCUCUAGUUUUGUGUGUACUCUGAGGACGGAAGGGCCAGUUAGGAGGCUGAGCAAAGCCAUUGCUACAGAUAGCAAAGAAAUGCAUCUCACUCCCGAUGACAUUGCUGUGAAGAUGCAGAAGAGGAACACCAAAUUCCAAGACUUGCUGCAGGCAUGAAUGCUCCCAGAAGUGUGAGUCAGCUCAAAACAACUCCUAGGAUCUGUGAUGUUUCAUUCUGAAGCUGAAUUGUCAUGACAGUAGUUAUGAGAGGUGAAGAUUGUAAACCAGAACAUUGCAGUGUAAACCCAGUGAUUUUUGAGAUUUCCUAAGUCAGAGGGCUGAAUCCAUCAUGUAUGAAAACAAAUGAAGCUGGGAAUUUGGAGCAGACCUGGCAAAAGGGUAUGAUUGUGGUUUGGAAUAAACUGAAAGAAGGAUGAUUCUUCUCAAGAUAAGAGCAUACUUGUACCUCCAUACCAGGAAAUAAGUUAAAGUAGAAAAGGGUAUCCUGAAGUGGAUGCAGUCAUAUGAACACAAGAAUUCUUUUUAAAAGUUAGCACAUACCGGGGACUGUAAAUCAGCUUUGUUAUGGUAUGACUACAUCUAUACCACUGGUUCUUAAUAAAGUUAGUAAAAAUGUUCUCCUAACUGACAGAGUGAUGCUAAUAAAACUUUUAUGUGUACAAGACCCCUAAAAAUUGGAAUAAUCAAUAAAUAACAUACACAACUAGUGUUAACAUUGCACACCCCAAAUUCAGCAAGAAUUCCUAUUAUGCAAGUCUGAGUUUGUAGAGCCGUAAUUCUACUAAGCUAGCACUGUGGGAGAAUGCAGAAGUUGCUUUUUAGAAGUUGAAGUGCCAUUUUAUUUCUCUUGAUACGUUUUGGGGAACUUUCCAAAAUCAGUCUUGGCACAGCUGAAGCAUCUUUAACAUUCUACUACUGUUUCUUCUACCGCUGUCACCUUUUAAGAGCUUAUGUUUUUAGCAUUCUUCUACCACUAUCACUCUUAAAAGGUUAUGUGUGUUCUCCAAAUGGGACCAGAUUGUACUGAAAGAGUUAUUUUUAAUACAGUUUCCUGUGGAGGAA
This is a long non-coding RNA of Chiroxiphia lanceolata (lance-tailed manakin), 2865 nucleotides long. RefSeq lists it as uncharacterized. The record is from RefSeq and is a predicted model, not a curated record. The transcript has 4 exons. Lineage: Eukaryota; Metazoa; Chordata; Aves; Passeriformes; Pipridae.